GUAUCAGUGGCGAAGUUGUUAGCGCACGAGCCUCGACUAUGCUUGAGGCGCGGGUUCGAAUCUCGCAUGAGCCG
This is a non-coding RNA of Nippostrongylus brasiliensis, 74 nucleotides long. NCBI's taxonomy places the organism in Eukaryota, Metazoa, Nematoda, Chromadorea, Rhabditida, Heligmosomidae. The record is from Rfam.